Molecule: long non-coding RNA, 334 nt
Filed under: Cairina moschata (Muscovy duck)
Lineage: Eukaryota; Metazoa; Chordata; Aves; Anseriformes; Anatidae
Description: domestica (muscovy Duck (domestic type)) lncRNA (ENSCMMG00000012311.1)
Source: RNAcentral
CAGUGUUCAAGACAGCAGGAAAUGCAUGCUGUGGUAGUAUAACCUAUGAAAAGGAAAAGCAACACAAUCAAAAUUAUGCUACUACUGAUUCACUGACAAAAAUUUGAAGCUUAGCUACAGCUCCUGAAAAUUAUUCUGCAACCUUCUUGAAAUGAAACUAAAUAAUUUGCAACUGGCUGAGAUGAGAAGUUGAUUAAUCAAGAACAGUGCUUACACUAAGCCAAGGACUUCUUGGCUUCUCAUGCUGCCCUGUCAGUGAGCAGGAGAAUGGGAGUGCAGUAGGAGCUGGGAGGGGACACAGACAGGACAACUGACCCAAACUGAACAAAGGGAU